Molecule: long non-coding RNA, 809 nt
Organism: Heterocephalus glaber (naked mole-rat)
Lineage: Eukaryota; Metazoa; Chordata; Mammalia; Rodentia; Bathyergidae
Source: Ensembl
CUGCCGCCCGGCUCGCGGGUCGGGUCGGCCGCCUGAGGUCAACCUUUGCGCGCCGCCUGAGGCCCGCUUUCCCCUUGGAGCAAGGUGGCGCAACAUCUGUUGGAAAAGAGAGAGCGCGGGUCGAGAGCUCAGUCAGUAUCUGUCAGCGCCUCCGGGGCCCGCACCUGAGGUGGAGAGCGGACGGGCUGACCCGGCGAACCGCGCUCUGGGAGCCGCGUCCUGCUGCAAGCGACGCGCACACGCCCGUGAAAUUAAUGGUUCAGAGAGCUGUCUGUGUGGAGGAAUGAAGCAGAGGAUCGAACUCGGGUCCUUGCACUUGUGCAGCAGGUGGCGAAACCACUGAGCUAAAUCCCCAGCCCCCAAUAAUCAAUCUUGACAUAGAGUGUGUUCUGGAUGUCGGACGGAGGUCAGAAAACCAGACUCUGGAGUGAGGCGCAUACCUGGAUUUGAACCCCAGCUUCGUCAGUGCAAGCGACCCAGCCUGUCCAAGACCCCAUCUGUGUGAGUGGGAACAGGGGUGACAUUUGGCAGGAAGGGCUGCUGCGAAAUGUUCCGCAAAAGAACAUUUGUCUGGCAGUCAGCACAGUGCUGGAUAGAUGGUGGCUACUGUUUCGUCUCCUGUGGGACGUGCUGUACUCAGGGAAAGAGGAUCGCCUCCUUCCAGAUCGAAUGAAUCAAUCGGCCUAUCUGCGAGUGUAUUCCUGAGACUCCAUUGGGGAAAACCAGGCGCCCGAUAGAGGCGCUCAUAUAGGAGUUGCCCUGCAGGCAGCACAAGGGCAACUGAGGAGAGCAGACCAGAGAAGAGAGAG